This 227-nucleotide unclassified non-coding RNA is filed under the name Hevea brasiliensis (rubber tree). The record is from RNAcentral. Lineage: Eukaryota; Viridiplantae; Streptophyta; Magnoliopsida; Malpighiales; Euphorbiaceae.
GAACACAGACAUCAAGCUUGUUGGUAAGAUUUAAAUUAAACUGUUUUUUCUAUCAAUCAGAGCUUUGCUUUUUCACUUGGAAAAUUUACAUGUAGAAAAAGAAUAUAACAAUUUAACCUUUAAUCUUUCUAUGUUUGUAUAAUUGGUUUCAACUAGAAUUCGAAUCGAAGACCUCACAAUUUUGGAAUCUAACGUAAUAUCAAACCUUUAAUCAUUUUUAUUAGAAU